RNAcentral lists this ribosomal RNA (432 nucleotides) under uncultured bacterium. RNAcentral's name for it is "partial 16S ribosomal RNA". It matches the Rfam family "Bacterial small subunit ribosomal RNA", at positions 29 to 506 of the family's 1533-position model. The record is from RNAcentral.
AACGAACGCUGGCGGCAUGCCUAACACAUGCAAGUCGAACGAGACCUUCGGGUCUAGUGGCGCACGGGUGCGUAACGCGUGGGAACCUGCCCUUAGGUUCGGAAUAACUCCCCGAAAGGGGUGCUAAUACCGGAUAAUGUCUUCGGACCAAAGAUUUAUCGCCUUUGGAUAGGCCCGCGUUGGAUUAGCUAGUUGGUAGGGUAAAAGCCUACCAAGGCGACGAUCCAUAGCUGGUCUGAGAGGAUGAUCAGCCACACUGGGACUGAGACACGGCCCAGACCCCCACGGGAGGCAGCAGGGGGGAAUAUUGGACAAGGGGCGAAAGCCUGACCCAACAAUGCCGGGGGAGGUAUGAAGGCCUUAGGGUUGUAAAGCUCUUUUACCCGGGAUGAUAAUGACAGUCCCGGGAGAAAAAGCCCCGGCUAACUCCGU